RNAcentral lists this ribosomal RNA (253 nucleotides) under uncultured bacterium. Its description in RNAcentral is "partial 16S ribosomal RNA". It matches the Rfam family "Bacterial small subunit ribosomal RNA", at positions 524 to 776 of the family's 1533-position model. The record is from RNAcentral.
GACAGAGGAGGCAAGCGUUGUUCGGAUUCACUGGGCUUAAAGAGCGCGUAGGCGGCUUGGUAAGUGUCAUGUGAAAGCCCACGGCUCAACCGUGGAAUUGCAGGGCAAACUGCCCGGAUUGAGGUCGUUAGGGGUGCCUGGAACUCUAGGUGGAGCGGUGAAAUGCGUAGAUAUCUAGAGGAACGCCCGUGGCGAAAGCGAGGUACUGGGACGAUUCUGACGCUGAGGCGCGAAAGCGUGGGGAGCAAACAGG